CACAGGUGUAUUUGUCAGCAGCCACACGAGUUGAAUGUUGCCUCAACAGUUCACGGUCGCUUGAGUUUUCGCCAAUCAGUUACCAACCCAUCUUGUUGAACCACUUUUUUUCAGGCACUCCCAUAGCAAGCACUGAGAGUUAGCAAUAGUACAGGAUUCAAGUGAAUUGUCUCUUUCAUUUAAAGGAAUGCAAUUUUUUUUGCAAUUAACAAAAAAAUGGUAUUUCGGACGAGUUGCAACGUGCGACCGAUAGGUUAAAUGAACAUAGUGAUUGUAACAAGCAGGUGAUCGGUUAAACGUCAACAAGGUGGGGUUGUACUGGACAGGUGUUCAGUUUAACAGCGGAUCGGAAGGUAAACGAAGCUAAGGUCUGUUGUCCUCAAACCUAAGUUACCUCCCUCCACUGCAUAUUUUAAGUGACAUUUGACUGUAAAGCCGAGUAGAAUCUGAUGAAGGGCUUGCGCAAAGUGUCUAAGGCCUUGAGGAUUUUAGUUCGUCAACUGUUUGGUCUUCGCCAUGCGAGUUCUGUUAGAAUCCAUCGAUCAACAGGGAUGUCACUUGAGCUGGAACAACAUAACUCGGUCUUCCGAUCUGAGAACCCAGAGUUGCGGUCUGAUACUUCCAAGGUCCACGAGAGAGAAACACACUAAAGCUUUCAAAGGCACAGUGGUGAAAAGCCAUCAUCUAAGGCCUUUCAGUCAUAGUGUACCAAUGAGCUGGUAACUUGUAGGGCCCGUGCUUGUGACAGAAUGUAUAGUUAAUGUCAUAAUUUUGGAUUUGGAUUCAAACUCGAGUGCAAAGUUCUCAACUGAAAAACGUGUAUUUUAUUGUAUUUUCUGAAAUGUCCAAUUUGAUAUGUUUUGUAAUGUACUUAAUUGUAGUUUAUGAACAAAGCAUAUUUUUACAUUAAAAAUGAUUAUAUGCCAAGGAA
Rhincodon typus (whale shark) is the source of this 931-nucleotide long non-coding RNA. RefSeq lists it as uncharacterized. Lineage: Eukaryota; Metazoa; Chordata; Chondrichthyes; Orectolobiformes; Rhincodontidae. The record is from RefSeq and is a predicted model, not a curated record. The transcript is spliced from 3 exons.